Molecule: non-coding RNA, 95 nt
Filed under: uncultured Traorella sp.
Lineage: Bacteria; Bacillati; Bacillota; Erysipelotrichia; Erysipelotrichales; Erysipelotrichaceae
Description: THF riboswitch
Rfam family: THF (Tetrahydrofolate) riboswitch aptamer
About the family: THF riboswitch presents a pseudoknot that joins P1-P2 and the loop of P3 and two THF binding.
Source: RNAcentral
CAGAGUAGAGAUAUAUGCGUUAAGUAUUGGCUGAACGGGGAGUUGUCAGCCGGGCGAAAAGAUUUUCUUGCGGUAUAUAUCUCGCAUCCCACUGU